Harmonia axyridis is the source of this 2667-nucleotide RNA transcript. RefSeq lists it as uncharacterized. NCBI's taxonomy places the organism in Eukaryota, Metazoa, Arthropoda, Insecta, Coleoptera, Coccinellidae. The transcript is spliced from 5 exons. The record is from RefSeq and is a predicted model, not a curated record.
GGAUGAGAACAAGCGGAAGCAAUGGCUAGAUUCUGUUGGGAAAUAGCUACCUAUUGGUGCAUUCAUUUGCUCAAAGCAUUUUCCCAUUCGGUCCAUUGGUGGUCUGAAAUUAUUGAAGUAUGCCAAACCAGCAUUCAUAUUAUACUGGGUGUUACAUUCAGAAAAAUCAAAUUAAAUAUGUCUGAACAAAAUUCGAAAUAAUUCAGAGAGCUUCUCAGGAUUAUUAGAGGAUAUUGGAUGGGAAAAAACAUGCUGCAGUAAGAGUACCAAUUGUCAAGUUUGGAUUUCUAUCAAUAAAAAUAAAUGUAGGUAUUUCAUACUAUUCAAUUACAAGCGAAAAGUUGAAGACUUGAAAGCAAAAAAAUGGCCCAUACUAAAAAAAAUUAAAAUCAACCAACAAUUAUACAUGAGAAACAGAAGGAUCAACAAAUCUAUUGUAGUAAAUAUUAAAAAAGAGCUGGUAGACUCAAAAAAAAUGAUAAUUUCAUCGAAGAUCUACCAGUAUCACAACAAUAGAUGAUAAGAACUUGUUGUAUGUCAAGUCAAUGUAAAAAAAACAGGAAAAAAAAUAGUAUAUUGAUGAAAAUCAAGAGUACAAAACUCUAUAACCAUAUGAGAGAAAAUAAAAUCCGACCUUUACCGUCCCCAAGUACACUCUCAAGGUACAUCAGAAAUAUUUCCAUUUUGAAGGAAAAAACUAAAUAUAUGAAGAAAAAACAUAGAUGUCUUCUUGUUGAUGAAUGCAAGAUUUCAAAAACAAACAGAAAUUGAAAAAAGCACCAUGAAAUUUGUUGGAUUCUUCGAUUUGGGAGAUUAUACUCCUAAGGAAAUGGAAAAGAAUCUUGGAGACCAUCCUUGGUCAUAAUGUUUCAACCAUUCGCUGGUCAUGGUCUUCAAGCAUUGGCUUGUUUUCUAAGUGGAGGUGAUGUGACGGGGGAAAUUUUGGCCAGGAUAAUGUUGCCGUGUGUCAUCAUCAGUGAAAAUGAUGGUCUCUACAUAGAUGUUAUCAUAACCAGUGAUGGAGCCAGAUGAAACCGCCAGUGGAAACACCUAAGUGUAUAAAAUAGCCUACAAUCAUGGAUACCACUCGUAAACUACUAAUGUGUUCCGAUUUUCCUUACCUCAUCAGAUGUUUGAGGAAUACUUCAAUGAACAGAAAAAAAAAGAUUAGGAAUUCUGAAGGUUGGGUUAUGUUUUCCUAUGUCGAAGAACUGUUUCAGCAUGAAUUCAUCAAAGAAUUUAAGAUGGCAUUCAAAUUGAUGGCAAGCCAUAUUUACUCUUAUAAACAAGAAGAGAAGAUGAACACAAGGCUUGCAUUCCAGGAUCUUGAUACAGGUCGAAGAAGAAUUUCGUGGAUGAAAAACCUAAGGACUUGGUAUUCGACAACAACAACAUCGCUCUUCAGAUCGGCUGUCGACAAAGUUAAAAUAGCCAGGAUGAUUGCCAACACCCGGACCGGAUAGGCACUUAAAGAAGAAGAAGAUGAUAUAAUCUUGGUGUGUUUAGAUUCCUGGAAGCAAUGUUGUCCUGAAGAUUUUUUUUAUCAGAAUCUACGUUUGAAGGGUUUAAAGCAACUUUACUUGUACACUAGACCUUACAAAAUAUUUAUUUACUCUUGGUUUCAAAUACUUGAUGACAUCAAGACUGAACCAAGAUCAUUUCGAGGUGAUUAUGUUACUGUAAUAUAUAUUACAGCACUAAUUUGGGACGAUGAGAGCAGAAGGUGGAUGCAAUACUCAUCCUGAAUCAAUACAAGUUGGACAAAUAUUUCGCCUGAUGUCCCUCUAAUCGUUGGUUUUACCCAGGGGAAGAAAUGUUAGGGGGGAAAUGCUGAAAUCCCUGCUACAUAUUGGAGACCUGAAAAAAAAAGCAGAAAUUUGUUUUUGACUUGAAAUAGGAAAAAUCAUCUAUGAAAUCGAAGAGGACCUCGUAGAAAUUGAUGAAGGAUAUGAUUCUGCCUGAAAAAAAUGAAAAGGACCACCAAAUGUGAAGAAUGUGGAGAAACAAUAUUGGGGAGGGACAUUUUUUUUCGAAAUGAUUUAUUGAAUAAAACCCACAAGUACAAAAAAAAUUACAUUCACAAUCCUCUAAACAGUACCCUAAACUGGUAUCGAGGAUAGUAGAUACAGAAUUCCAUUGAAAUUAACCAGUGCCUUUGUUAGUAAAUAGAAUCUUAUUUCUUACAUACACACCUGAUGCUUGAGGAAUCGCAGUUCCACAUCAAGACAAAUUUCAGAAAUGCCAACUUAACAUUCUAUUGAAAAAGCGGACAAAAUCACAUUACACCAACUCUAAGUAUUCUCUUAUUUUUUGAUCAGAAAAUUUACCAAUUGAACUGACAGAUUUUAUGGAAGUAGGUAAUUGAUUAAAUAUUUUUGAAGCUUGUGCUAUUGGGUUAUUCAGCCCUUUUUGACUUUUUACUUUUGUCUCUUUUGAUGUGUUCUUGUUUCAUAACUAUGAAUAUCUUUCGUAAAUUUAUACUCUAUAUUGCACUUGUGUAUUUUAUUUAUGAUUUUAAAAAUUAAUUUACAUUGUCCUUAUUCUAAUAUUUCCUUCAAAUUUGGUAUUUGCAAAUCAGAGUAAAGUUGUGUAGUAUUUGUUAAUCGAUCAUAAUUAAACAACACUUUAAUAAAUUUAUUUUGUAACGUUUGUAUUUUUUUGAAGUAU